Molecule: ribosomal RNA, 476 nt
Filed under: uncultured bacterium
Lineage: Bacteria
Description: bacterial SSU rRNA
Rfam family: Bacterial small subunit ribosomal RNA
Source: RNAcentral
GGCGGCGGCCUAAUCAUGCAAGUCGAACGGGUGUAGCAAUACACUAGAGGCGCACGGGUGCGUAACGCGUAACCAACCUACCUGGAUCUGGGGGAUAGCCCGCCGAAAGGCGGAUUAAUACCGCAUAAGCUAAGUGACCGGCAUCGGUUGCUUCGUAAAGAUUUAUUGGAUUCAGAUGGGGUUGCGUAGCAUUAGCUAGAUGGCGGGGUAACGGCCCACCAUGGCGACGAUGCUUAGGGGACCUGAGAGGGUGAUCCCCCACACUGGCACUGAGAUACGGGCCAGACUCCUACGGGAGGCAGCAGUAGGGAAUAUUGGGCAAUGGGCGAGAGCCUGACCCAGCCAUGCCGCGUGCCGGAUGAAGGCCUUCUGGGUUGUAAACGGCUUUUCUCAGGGAAGAAAAAGGGGAUGCGUCCCAAACUGACGGUACCUGAGGAAUAAGCACCGGCUAACUCCGUGCCAGCAGCCGCGGUAAU